This 482-nucleotide ribosomal RNA is filed under the name uncultured bacterium. Its description in RNAcentral is "partial 16S ribosomal RNA". It matches the Rfam family "Bacterial small subunit ribosomal RNA", at positions 30 to 507 of the family's 1533-position model. The record is from RNAcentral.
AUUGAACGCUGGCGGCAUGCUUUACACAUGCAAGUCGAACGGUAACAGGCCGCAAGGUGCUGACGAGUGGCGCACGGGGGAGUAAUGCAUCGGAACGUGCCCAGGCGUGGGGGGUAACUACUCGAAAGAGUAGCUAAUACCGCAUACGAUCUAUGGGUGAAAGCGGGGGACCGUAAGGCCUCGCGCGAUUUGAGAGGCCGAUGUCAGAUUAGGUAGUUGGUGGGGUAAAGGCUCACCAAGCCAACGAUCUGUAUCUGGUCUGAGAGGACGACCAGCCACACUGGGACUGAGACACGGCCCAGACUCCUACGGGAGGCAGCAGUGGGGAAUUUUGGACAAUGGGCGCAAGCCUGAUCCAGCAAUGCCGCGUGCAGGAAGAAGGCCUUCGGGUUGUAAACUGCUUUUGUACGGAACGAAACGGCUCUGGUUAAUACCCGGGGCUAAUGACGGUACCGUAAGAAUAAGCACCGGCUAACUACGUG